RNAcentral lists this ribosomal RNA (71 nucleotides) under Peptoniphilus lacrimalis. RNAcentral's name for it is "partial 23S ribosomal RNA". The record is from RNAcentral. Lineage: Bacteria; Bacillati; Bacillota; Tissierellia; Tissierellales; Peptoniphilaceae.
ACGUGGUUGAUAGGCUGGAUGUGGAAGCCCUGUAAGGGGUGGAGCUGACCAGUACUAAUGGGCGAUUGUGA